RNAcentral lists this unclassified non-coding RNA (3959 nucleotides) under Hevea brasiliensis (rubber tree). The record is from RNAcentral. Lineage: Eukaryota; Viridiplantae; Streptophyta; Magnoliopsida; Malpighiales; Euphorbiaceae.
CGUCGAAUUCUACGCUCCUUGGUAUUGAAAUUCAAUUUUAGUGUCUCCCCAUAUUUAGUCUUUUAAUUUGUUAAAAUAUGAUCCGUUGAACUUUGUUUUAUGUGAGAUCUUUUACCCUUCCUGAUCUACUUUUUCUUUUUAGCUGUGUCUUUUUUUUUAUUUAAUAUGUUUUCACCUGUUUUUCUUUUUUGAAUUUGUAUUUUUGGUUUUACUUCUGAAGGUAGAGAUGGAGGUUGUGAAUCGAUAUCGCAUCAAGUGAUUACCUUGUUAUUUAUAUUGUUAUGUUGACUUGGCCUGUCGAUUGAGAUUCUGAAAUUUGGAUCUUAUCCUGGAGAUGAUGCAUGCUAUGAAUCUAAUGAAGGAAUCGAUUGAGAUUAUUUGUGGUGAAUGUUCUCUUUUUCUGUUUGAUAUGGGAUUGAAGUAUUAAAUGUAAUUGAUCCACAAAAAACCAUAAGGUCUUAGUUGUUUUAACCUCAACUGCGACAUCACUCUAUUAUUUAAGUAAUCCUGCCUAUGAACCACUACUGCCAGUGCACAGCCACUACUGUUACUGUUCUUCCCACCAUCUCUAAUACUGCCGCUACCCAUUAUGAUGGGCGUGUUGCUGAAUGAUUUAUUUUAUGUUAGCAAUUUCAUUGUUCUAAACAUAAAGGUGACGUUAUUCCGUUACGUUUAACCUUCUUUUUAUGAUCAAUUUUUAUUAACAUGAUAGCUAUUCAAGGGGUUUCGAAGCUCUAGUUGAGCUUGAUUUGGGCACAUGUUAACUGGUGCAUCUUGAGAACUGCUUUACUUAAUUUAUUUUUUUAGAGCUAUGUUAUGACUGCUUAGUUUUAGAAAGCAAGAAGAUGUAUCAAAUAUAUAAGAAAAGUGCGGCAUAUGAACAAUGGUACUAUAUUUGAAAGAGAACUUUAAGAACCUUUAGGCAGAUAGAUAACGUGUCCUUUCUCAUCGGCAAUGUUGCGACCUUUUCAAUAGAUUUUAUUUUGGCUUUUGUACAAUAACUUGUGAUUUGAUGAACAUUUAAAUUCCUUCAACCAAACUGUGCUUAGGAUGGAAUGCUGAUCUUGUGUAAUGCUGAUCUUGUGUCUUUUCUUUCAGGUGUGGUCACUGCAAAAAGCUUGCUCCUGAGUAUGAGAAAGCUGCAUCCAUAUUGCAUAGUCAUGACCCUCCAGUUGUUUUGGCCAAAAUUGAUGCCAAUGAGGAGGCGAAUAAAGAUCUUGCAACCCAAUAUGAGAUUAAGGGAUUCCCAACUCUCAAAAUUUUGAGAAAUGGAGGGAAAUCAAUUCAAGAGUAUAAAGGCCCUCGUGAGGCAGAUGGCAUUGUUGAGUAUUUGAAGAAACAAAGUGGCCCUGCUUCUGUUGAAAUAAAAUCAAAAGAAGAUGCUAGUAGUUUCAUUGGUGACAAGAAGAUAGUUAUUGUUGGGGUGUUCCCUAAGUUCUCUGGACAGGAGUUUGAGAACUUUUUGGCUGUUGCAGAUAAAUUGCGCUCUGACUAUGAGUUUGGUCAUACGUUGGAUGCUAAAAACCUUCCUAGUGGGGAAUCAUCCGUCACUGGACCCCUUGUUAGGCUGUUCAAGCCAUUUGAUGAACUCUUUGUUGAUUUUCAGGACUUUAAUGUGGAUGUCCUAGAGAAGUUUGUAGAAGAAUCUAGCAUUCCCAUUGUUACUGUCUUUAACAAUGACCCCAUCAAUCAUCCUUAUGUUAUCAAAUUUUUCAAUAGUCCCAAUGCUAAGGCUAUGUUGUUUACGAACUUCAGUAGUGAGGCUUCAGAUUCUUUCAAAACGAAGUAUCAUGAAACAGCUCAGCAACUCAAAGGACAGGGCAUAGUCUUUUUGUUGGGAGAUGUUGAGGCUAGUCAAGGUGCCUUCCAGUAUUUUGGAGUCAAAGAGGACCAAGUGCCUCUCAUCAUCAUACAAACUAAUGAUGGACAGAAAUACCUGAAGCCAAACCUGGAGCCUGAUCAUAUUGCUCCGUGGUUGAAGGAAUACAAGGAAGGUAAAUUGCUGCCAUACAAGAAAUCUGAACCUGUCCCUGAAGUGAACAAUGAGCCUGUGAAAGUUGUGGUUGCUGAUAGUCUCCAGGACAUAGUUAUCAACUCUGGAAAAAAUGGUUUGUAUGACCAAUUAUUUGUGUGGUAUAUCAUUUCAUUUUUCUUUAGUAUAUUGGUAAAAUUUGAUGCAAUUUUCUGUGUACUUUUCCAAUGGUUUUUAAUGGCUUUCAGCAUGUGAAUUUGUUUGAGCACUUCCGCAUUAAAUGCUCGAAAUUUAUUUGAUAAUGCUCUGAUUGUACAAAUCAUCAUCCACAAUAUGCUCUCUUGUACAGAUUGUCAGCAUUUUAUUGAUUUGUCCUUGAUAAUGUAGGACUUUGGACUUUCUGCCUAGCGAAAGCCUCCAAAAAUUUCUUCUUCCCCCUCUUCUUCUCUAAUGCCUUUUUCAAAGAACCUUACGGAAAUUUCCUAAAAUUUUUUGCUGGCUUUUCUCUUCUUGUGCUAUCUAAUACCUUUUUCUCUUCAUCUUUUAACUUGACAUGUCUCUAGACUUGCACAUGAUAUGUUGUCAUGUCUUACUCCGCAGUUCUUCUAGAGUUUUAUGCUCCCUGGUGUGGACACUGCAAAAAAUUGGCUCCAAUCUUGGAUGAAGUUGCCAUUUCAUACCAGAGUGAUCCUGAUGUUGUUAUUGCAAAGCUUGUAAGUGUUGUACCUCUCUCUCGUUGAAUAAGUGUUAUUUAUUAUGUCUUAAAAGGUAUUAAGUUAAUUUCACUUGCUUUUGUCAUUUGCACCAUCAAUCGGGUUUUUGGUUGUAUUCUUACAUCAAAGGGUGCAAUGGUAGGGGUAAUGGAGAUAAUUAAUUCCCAUUCAAGCAGUCAAACACUUAUAAUGAUAAAUUAACAGUGGUUAUAAUUGGGUAUGCCAUCUUAUGUUGUUGUGUCAAAACAGGUUGGCCCCAUGUGGGACCCACUUAGUUUGUGAGAGGACCUGCACAUGUGCCGCUCCUAUGCUAUAAAAUCACUUGCAGAAUUUCAGAUGAAGAUUUGCCUGUCUGCAUUUUAUGCUUUUCCUCACACUUGAUGUGCUUCUGUUUUGGUUAAUGCAUGGUCGCUGUAUAAUGUUUACAAUUCCGUAAAUUUACAAUGGGAGAUUAUGGAUUAAUCUUUAUACUACUACUGCAUAAUGCUUAUUAAAAAUCCAUUCUUGACAACAUUUCUUCUUUGACACGUUUUAGGAUGCAACUGCAAAUGAUAUCCCAAACGAUACUUUCGACGUCAAGGGAUACCCCGCUGUGUACUUCAGGUCAGCAAGUGGAAAGCUGGUGCAGUAUGAAGGCGAUAGAACAAAAGAAGAUAUCAUUGGUUUCAUUGAGAAGAAUCGGGAUAAAGCUAAUGUUGCUCAGGAAGAAUCGACCAAGGGAAAAGAUGAGCUCUAAAUCUUAUACCAAUUUUGGGCUUAAUGUACGAAAAGUUAUGUCAGCAUAAUCAAAUUAUUAGUUUUCAUAGACCCUUCAGGGUUAGGAAAAGAAAAUAACCGUGAUCGUGUAAGUUAGAGGACUUCUCCUCAAAAUACUCCUGGAUUUUCACAUGAUUUUUCUUGAUUUCGUCCUAGCUAUAGAUUGAAACCGAGAUCUUAUACAUUGAUAGUGCUUCAAAUCUGAGACAUCCUAAACCUUCAGUUGUCAAAAUAUUUGAUACGAAGUGUUUUUAUGUCUCGUCUUUGAUUCCUCCAUCAUGCUCACGCUCACCGUGGCAGCUUGUGGCCGUCAUUCAUGACAGAUUAUAAAAAAUAAUACAUCGGACGCUCGCAGAAAACCAGUUACAGUUAGGGGUGUAAAUGAAUCAAGGAUAACAGUAAAAAAUUGAUUUGGUUUGGUUUAGUUCAUUUUUUAAAUGAGUUUAAACUCAGUAUUAUUUGGCUUGAGUUUAAGCUCUACUUAUUGAAUAGGUUUGCAAGCCGAUUUAGUAAAUAAG